CCUACGGGGUGCUGCAGUCGAGAAUCAUUCACAAUGGGGGAAACCCUGAUGGUGCGACGCCGCGUGGGGGAAUGAAGGUCUUCGGAUUGUAAACCCCUGUCAUGUGGGAGCAAAUUAAAAAGAUAGUACCACAAGAGGAAGAGACGGCUAACUCUGUGCCAGCAGCCGCGGUAAUACAGAGGUCUCAAGCGUUGUUCGGAAUCACUGGGCGUAAAGCGUGCGUAGGCUGUUUCGUAAGUCGUGUGUGAAAGGCGCGGGCUCAACCCGCGGACGGCACAUGAUACUGCGAGACUAGAGUGAUGGAGGGGGAACCGGAAUUCUCGGGGUAGCAGUGAAAUGCGUAGAUAUCGAGAGGAACACUCGUGGCGAAGGCGGGUUCCUGGACAUUAACUGACGCUGAGGCACGAAGGCCAGGGGAGCGAAAGGGAUUAGAUACCCCGGUAGUC
RNAcentral lists this ribosomal RNA (446 nucleotides) under uncultured bacterium. RNAcentral's name for it is "partial 16S ribosomal RNA". It matches the Rfam family "Bacterial small subunit ribosomal RNA", at positions 338 to 795 of the family's 1533-position model. The record is from RNAcentral.